GGAGGAGUGGCCGAGUGGUUUAAGGCGGCGGUCUUGAAAACCGCUGUGCUGUAAGGCACCGGGGGUUCGAAUCCCUCCCCCUCCGCCA
This 88-nucleotide transfer RNA is filed under the name Acidobacteriota bacterium. RNAcentral describes it as "tRNA-Ser". It matches the Rfam family "tRNA". Rfam says of the family: Transfer RNA (tRNA) molecules are approximately 80 nucleotides in length. Their secondary structure includes four short double-helical elements and three loops (D, anti-codon, and T loops). Lineage: Bacteria; Pseudomonadati; Acidobacteriota. The record is from RNAcentral.